This 105-nucleotide small nuclear RNA is filed under the name Delphinapterus leucas (beluga whale). The record is from RNAcentral. Lineage: Eukaryota; Metazoa; Chordata; Mammalia; Artiodactyla; Monodontidae.
GCGCUUGCUUCAGCAGCGCAUAUGCUAAAAUUGGAACGAUAGAGAAGAUUAGCAUUGCCCCUGCCCAAGGAUGACAUGGAAAUUCGUGAAGCAUUCCAUGUUUUU